This 1167-nucleotide long non-coding RNA is filed under the name Felis catus (domestic cat). Its description in RNAcentral is "lncRNA (ENSFCAG00000047709.1)". Lineage: Eukaryota; Metazoa; Chordata; Mammalia; Carnivora; Felidae. The record is from RNAcentral.
UGGCGGCCGUGGAGGGGAGCUGGACGGCGGGGACGUGGCACCAGCAGGCCCGCAGGUGAUCGGCUGUGUGGGGAGGCGAGGGGGCCGAGCGGGGAGGACAGCCAAAUAAGACAAGGGGACGAGCCACCAGGCCUGCACGGCAGCACCAAGGAGACUCCCAGGGGAGGAGCCGCCACCGGGACGCCCGGCACCACCCCUCAGUGGCGGCCCAGAGGGGCGUCCUGUGCAGGCCUCGCAGCCAGGUGCCUGGAGCCCCCUUUGAGGCACGGCCCGGGGGGCAGAGCUGGGAGGGCAGUGGCCGCAGGGUCCGCACAAGUGCAGCAGGUGAGCAAGAACAACCCUGGGCAGAGCCACCGCGAAGCCAUUCCACUGACCGAGCUCUCUGUCGCCGGUCCCCACGGCGCGGGCUGUCUGGGGCCCCUGGUACCCUGGACCCCGUGUUGGGCCCGUGGCCUCGCAGGCGUCUCCGUCCACACGAAGCCCAGCACAGCUUGCUGGCCGCUCACCUCCUGUCUUGGGCUUGACUUCUCCCACCGGCUGAGCUCCAGCCUGUGCUGGGAUACCCCAGGGAGGCUGGGGGAGGGGGAGACCUGGAGGGGUGGGGAAGGGGGAGGGGUUAGGGUUAGGGGAGGCCUGGCGGGCUUUUUCUCUGCUGCAGCCAGGGCCUGGGCUCUCCAGGUGGAGGAGAAGGUACGGUCCCUCGUGGUUGGUUCUGCAGUGACUUGGGUUCACAGGCUGCUCAGCUCAGGGUCAGAGUGCGACGUGGACAAGCAGGCUGUUGGGAGGGGGAGUCCCCUCCUUUCAGGACGGGGACCUCGGUGCUGCCAGAGGCACCUGCCACCCCGCAGGCUGCAGGCGACCUCAGGCAAAGGACAGAACCUGCAAGAAGGGACACCUGGAGGACGUCCCCUGGAGCUCAGGUUCAGACGUGGGAGGAGGGGCCCUGUGGGGCUAGGAAGGGACUCUCGGAGGACUCAGAUGUGGCCCAGGGCAAAGCGAGGCAGAGACACUGACAGGGCCUGGAAUCCGCCAGUACCAAAAGGGAGGCCCAGGCCCUUCUCCCUCCUCCCACCACUGCAGAGCAGCCUCUGGGCAGAGUCUGCGGGUCCCCAGCAGCGGGAGCCCAGCAGGCCCAGCUCAAGGGUCCCAGUACCGCAGGGCGGGUAG